UUAUAUCGAUGGUAAUGGAGACCGGCACCGAGUAAGCAAGGGGAGCUCUAGAGCAGGUACCUACAAAAUGAUUUUGUUUUACCUCACUUCAAUUUUUAGGACUGUUUCUUAUCUUCAAUGAUUUAACCUUUAAAAUCUUUUCUUUUGAUGAUAUUCAGAGUCUUGAUUUCUUCAACACAAGAGCUGAUCUAUGGAAGAGAGACCACUUAGCAAUCGAUAAGUACCAUGUGCGUGGACUGAGGUCAUUAGUUGUUGCAGGACGGACUGUACCUGAAAAAAAUAAACCUCUGGUGGUCCAUGUGAAAUCUUUGGUGGGUUGCCUUUGUUUGAUCCCCCAAGACAUUAUAGUGCAUACACAUUAGAAGAGCUUUUAAGACCUCGGUGUCAACAUUAAUGAUCACUGGUUAAUAUCUAUCUAUAUACUUUUAUCUUUGACUUUAAUCUUCCUUAUGUUGUAUUGCUUUUAUUAUAGUUGGUUAACUUGCUAUUGCCAAAGAGACUCGACCUAAGCUCGGUACGGGAUCAAACAUGAUCCAUAGCAUCAGCUUCUACCGGGAUAAGAGAGCCAUCCGAGGGAGUUUAGGCAGCCAAGUGACCUUUUCUAAUCUCUAUUCUCCACAUGUUUCUAUUUUUACCGACUAUGAUCUAAUCCUAACUAUGUUUUUUCUUUUUAUUGGUUAGGUUAUAUUCUUUGCCAAGACUGAUGACUGUCAGACUGAUGAUUUUACGAGAAGGUAUAUAUCGAUGGUAUUUUCAGAUGAUGAAUAUUGUAUGUUAAGUUUAGUUCUUUAGCUUUUCUCUUAACAUGUACUAUAUUUUAUCUUGCAGUUUAUAAUGUCGCUGUAAAAAAAAGAAACUUCUGAUGACAUUCUUGACUUUAUUCGGAAUAGAGGAUGCAAUAUAUUGUAAGUUUCUGAUCCUGGUACCGGUCUCUUUGACUAACACUUUGUGAUCUAUUGAUGAUAAAGCUACAAGCCAUUGCUAAUUAGUCUAAUGUUUACUUAGCAGAUUGUUGAUUUUGGUAACAACCUGAACUCCAAGAAACCGUUCCAGUCAGGUCCAUCGCCAAGCAUAAAAGUACAAUAUUUUCCUUAUAUUCUUUCCUUCCAAUUAUUCAACAUAGUAACUGAAUCAUGUGAUUUAUAUUGGAUUUUGUAAAUCAGGGUUUUUGUUGAGAACUUGCGUAUGGAACCUUUUCUCAUUACUAUAUGUCAGAGCUGGUUCUAGAAAAUGUGAGAAUGAAAUUUUUAUUUCUUUUUGGGAUAAAUUUAGACCAUAUAUAUAUAUAUGAGUUAAGAUCAAGUAACACAUGAAAUUUGCAGGAAAAUGCAAGCAUAUGGGUCUGGUAGGAAAGACUUCUGAUCAUUUGGUAUAAGCGUCCAGACUCCAAAAAAUAUUUUAUCUAGCGGUCAGUAAACCUAUGGAAGCACAAAUACUGUGGAACAUACAAAAUACAAAUUUAACGUGUGCAUAUAACAUACGGAGGUGGAAUCACAACAUGUAAGGACAAUCACAACAUACAGAAGUGGAAUCAGAAAAAAAAAGAACACUUGGAGGAGGGUGUUCAACGACAAGAACAAUAAACUACAUCUACGUAUUGUAGACAUUGAUCGUUGUAACCAAGUGACCGAUACGUUUGUACAACUAACAAUGACAACACAUUCCAUUUUUGACAGAACAUCAACUAUUAAAGUCUCUGACAUUGAAUUAGGUAAGAUCGGAGAAAUCAACUAAGUCGAUGAUGAUAUAAUAAGUCUGAUCAUUUUAUAAGUGAAAAGCAAUGACAGACCAAAUCGGCAAACAAAUAGAAACUAAGAUAUAGAUCAUACUAACCUCGCGCUUGCGCGGAGUGAAGACACCUAGUCUAUAUUAUAAUAGGAGAGUUUUUGCUCUUUCCUAAGCAUGUCCACGUCAGCAGGUAAUUUUUUGUGGAUCCCACUAAAACAAUAAAUAUUGCAUAAGCAAUUUUUUUUCGCCCACGUAAUUUUUUGUCUUUUUGGUUUCUAUAUAUCAUUUGUCUUUUGGUUUGGUUAUCUUAAUAUAUACUCCCUUUGUUUCAAAAUACAUGAUAUUUUGACUCAUUACACAAAGAUUAAAAAAUCUAUUUUUGUCUAAAAAGUAACUUUACAAAUAUAAUUUAAAAUUCAUUCAACCAAUUAAAGUUAAAAUAAUAUAAAUAUAUCAAAACUUCAUCUGUUUUGAAACAAUAAACCUCUUCUAGAACAUCAACUAUUAUGAAACGGAGGGAGGAGUAUAUACCAUACGCUACAAAACCAUAAACGAACCCAAUAAAUUUUGAAGUCCAUGUCAUGUCUGCUUAGUAAUGAUGUCGUUUGAAGUUUGAACCCCAAAAAAAAUCUAAACUCUGCGUUUAAUGUGUUACUCAAUUAGGUUGGAAAUCGUCUCCAUCUUCCACGAUACAACAUCACCGUCUCUGUCGAUGUUAAAAAAAAUCUUCUCUAUCAACUUUUGACUUCCCAUAUCUCUUGCAACUUUGUCUCUUGCUUACCCUCCAUUCAACGUCUCUCCUAAUAUAUACAAUGAAUCUUCAGUUCACAUUGAAAUCAUUAAAUCCCACCAACUCUCCGUCUCCAUACAUUUACAAUAGAAGCCUUUAUGCGUGUUAAAACCGAUAAACACCUCAAACCUUAUAAAUAGGAGAGGCUAGGGUCUGGAAUCACGCCCCCACAAACUCCCUUUCUCAUUUUAUCUUCGCUCGAAAACCUAGAAGCUUCUUUCAAAAAUGUCUUCAUAUGAUGGUGUUGUCGCCCAAUCAGCCGCCCGACUUGGCCGCACUUCCCAAUCCAUUGUUGGUCUCCUCUUCUGCUUUUGCGAUUUCCGUAAUAUCAAGAAAUGGGAAUCACUCUUCUUUUCCUGGAUGAAAAGGCAUUUUUAUUUUCACUCUAUCAAGCAUUAUAUAUCAUAUAUUCCAUUCCAUCUCUACUCUAUCUAAUUGAUUUUUUUUUUAAAUGUUUCGGUUUACUCUUCUUCCUGCUUACGCAGAGAUCUGUGAUACGGACGGAUGGAUCACUACCGUCCCGGUUCCAUCAUCAAAGUUGAUAGGUUUUGAAGUUGAAAGAUUUUUAUCGGUUUAUAGCCUCCUACAAAGGCUGGCCGUUGUCUUAUACACCGGAUGCAACAGGAAGUUGGACAAAUUUGGCACUUCUCUCUGUUGUAACAAAUAUGUUGCUCCCGACGUUACAGGUGUGAUCAGGUACCAUGUCGAACUAUACUUGCAACUAGGUACGGCAACGAUAGUGACAUACGUGGUCUUCAACAGGGAGAUAACCAAGAUCACUAAGCAAGAUGCUGCUACUCUGGUUCUGCUCUGGCUCUUGAGGGAGUUCAUCUUUUGGUUUUACACUUCAUUUGACCCAUGUUUAGAACUGUAACAAGCACUAAUUGUUUCACAAUCGUACUAUAGAAUGGCGGUGGAGGGCAAGAACUACCAAGAUGUCUUGAAAAGCUUGCUGGCAAGGAAUACGUUUUUCAGAUACGUGCCACUCGAUACAAUUUUGUCCCAAACCACCGUGUCUGCAGUCAGUGACACCGAGAGUAGCAGCAGCUUCAAAGCUCCAGUUAUUGGAGCGGAAGGUCGAGAAGCUACAGCUUCUGCAAGUAACACGAUUCCAGCGGCGAAGAUAGAAAUCGGAGGCGAUGAAGCAAAUCCGGCAGGUUUUGAAGGCUAAGAUAAUAGCUGCAAACGCCCCUAAGUGAUAGUUUCAGUUCCAGGAGUGUUCGUACAUUUAAGUUUUCUAAAUUCUUAUGUUUUUACCUA
Brassica napus (rape) is the source of this 3778-nucleotide long non-coding RNA. RefSeq lists it as uncharacterized. NCBI's taxonomy places the organism in Eukaryota, Viridiplantae, Streptophyta, Magnoliopsida, Brassicales, Brassicaceae. The transcript has 3 exons. The record is from RefSeq and is a predicted model, not a curated record.